This 2906-nucleotide ribosomal RNA is filed under the name Salmonella enterica subsp. enterica serovar Typhimurium. RNAcentral's name for it is "23S ribosomal RNA". It matches the Rfam family "Bacterial large subunit ribosomal RNA". Lineage: Bacteria; Pseudomonadati; Pseudomonadota; Gammaproteobacteria; Enterobacterales; Enterobacteriaceae. The record is from RNAcentral.
GGUUAAGCGACUAAGCGUACACGGUGGAUGCCCUGGCAGUCAGAGGCGAUGAAGGGCGUGCUAAUCUGCGAUAAGCGCCGGUAAGGUGAUAUGAACCGUUAUAACCGGCGAUACCCGAAUGGGGAAACCCAGUGUGAUUCGUCACACUAUCAUUAACUGAAUCCAUAGGUUAAUGAGGCGAACCGGGGGAACUGAAACAUCUAAGUACCCCGAGGAAAAGAAAUCAACCGAGAUUCCCCCAGUAGCGGCGAGCGAACGGGGAGGAGCCCAGAGCCUGAAUCAGCAUGUGUGUUAGUGGAAGCGUCUGGAAAGGCGCGCGAUACAGGGUGACAGCCCCGUACACAAAAGCGCAUGUGCUGUGAGCUCGAUGAGUAGGGCGGGACACGUGGUAUCCUGUCUGAAUAUGGGGGGACCAUCCUCCAAGGCUAAAUACUCCUGACUGACCGAUAGUGAACCAGUACCGUGAGGGAAAGGCGAAAAGAACCCCGGCGAGGGGAGUGAAAAAGAACCUGAAACCGUGUACGUACAAGCAGUGGGAGCACCCUUCGGGGUGUGACUGCGUACCUUUUGUAUAAUGGGUCAGCGACUUAUAUUCUGUAGCAAGGUUAACCGUAUAGGGGAGCCGGAGGGAAACCGAGUCUUAACCGGGCGUUAAGUUGCAGGGUAUAGACCCGAAACCCGGUGAUCUAGCCAUGGGCAGGUUGAAGGUUGGGUAACACUAACUGGAGGACCGAACCGACUAAUGUUGAAAAAUUAGCGGAUGACCUGUGGCUGGGGGUGAAAGGCCAAUCAAACCGGGAGAUAGCUGGUUCUCCCCGAAAGCUAUUUAGGUAGCGCCUCGUGAAUUCAUCUCCGGGGGUAGAGCACUGUUUCGGCUAGGGGGCCAUCCCGGCUUACCAACCCGAUGCAAACUGCGAAUACCGGAGAAUGUUAUCACGGGAGACACACGGCGGGUGCUAACGUCCGUCGUGAAGAGGGAAACAACCCAGACCGCCAGCUAAGGUCCCAAAGUCAUGGUUAAGUGGGAAACGAUGUGGGAAGGCCCAGACAGCCAGGAUGUUGGCUUAGAAGCAGCCAUCAUUUAAAGAAAGCGUAAUAGCUCACUGGUCGAGUCGGCCUGCGCGGAAGAUGUAACGGGGCUAAACCAUGCACCGAAGCUGCGGCAGCGACGCUGAUGCGUUGUUGGGUAGGGGAGCGUUCUGUAAGCCUGCGAAGGUGACCUGUGAGGGUUGCUGGAGGUAUCAGAAGUGCGAAUGCUGACAUAAGUAACGAUAAAGCGGGUGAAAAGCCCGCUCGCCGGAAGACCAAGGGUUCCUGUCCAACGUUAAUCGGGGCAGGGUGAGUCGACCCCUAAGGCGAGGCCGAAAGGCGUAGUCGAUGGGAAACGGGUUAAUAUUCCCGUACUUGGUGUUACUGCGAAGGGGGGACGGAGAAGGCUAUGUUGGCCGGGCGACGGUUGUCCCGGUUUAAGCGUGUAGGUGUGUGUUCCAGGUAAAUCCGGUUCACUUUAACACUGAGGCGUGACGACGAGGCACUACGGUGCUGAAGCAACAAAUGCCCUGCUUCCAGGAAAAGCCUCUAAGCAUCAGGUAACAUCAAAUCGUACCCCAAACCGACACAGGUGGUCAGGUAGAGAAUACCAAGGCGCUUGAGAGAACUCGGGUGAAGGAACUAGGCAAAAUGGUGCCGUAACUUCGGGAGAAGGCACGCUGACACGUAGGUGAAGUGAUUUACUCAUGGAGCUGAAGUCAGUCGAAGAUACCAGCUGGCUGCAACUGUUUAUUAAAAACACAGCACUGUGCAAACACGAAAGUGGACGUAUACGGUGUGACGCCUGCCCGGUGCCGGAAGGUUAAUUGAUGGGGUCAGCGCAAGCGAAGCUCCUGAUCGAAGCCCCGGUAAACGGCGGCCGUAACUAUAACGGUCCUAAGGUAGCGAAAUUCCUUGUCGGGUAAGUUCCGACCUGCACGAAUGGCGUAAUGAUGGCCAGGCUGUCUCCACCCGAGACUCAGUGAAAUUGAACUCGCUGUGAAGAUGCAGUGUACCCGCGGCAAGACGGAAAGACCCCGUGAACCUUUACUAUAGCUUGACACUGAACAUUGAGCCUUGAUGUGUAGGAUAGGUGGGAGGCUUUGAAGUGUGGACGCCAGUCUGCAUGGAGCCGACCUUGAAAUACCACCCUUUAAUGUUUGAUGUUCUAACGUGGACCCGUAAUCCGGGUUGCGGACAGUGUCUGGUGGGUAGUUUGACUGGGGCGGUCUCCUCCUAAAGAGUAACGGAGGAGCACGAAGGUUGGCUAAUCCUGGUCGGACAUCAGGAGGUUAGUGCAAUGGCAUAAGCCAGCUUGACUGCGAGCGUGACGGCGCGAGCAGGUGCGAAAGCAGGUCAUAGUGAUCCGGUGGUUCUGAAUGGAAGGGCCAUCGCUCAACGGAUAAAAGGUACUCCGGGGAUAACAGGCUGAUACCGCCCAAGAGUUCAUAUCGACGGCGGUGUUUGGCACCUCGAUGUCGGCUCAUCACAUCCUGGGGCUGAAGUAGGUCCCAAGGGUAUGGCUGUUCGCCAUUUAAAGUGGUACGCGAGCUGGGUUUAGAACGUCGUGAGACAGUUCGGUCCCUAUCUGCCGUGGGCGCUGGAGAACUGAGGGGGGCUGCUCCUAGUACGAGAGGACCGGAGUGGACGCAUCACUGGUGUUCGGGUUGUCAUGCCAAUGGCACUGCCCGGUAGCUAAAUGCGGAAGAGAUAAGUGCUGAAAGCAUCUAAGCACGAAACUUGCCCCGAGAUGAGUUCUCCCUGAGACUUAGAGUCUCCUGAAGGAACGUUGAAGACGACGACGUUGAUAGGCCGGGUGUGUAAGCGCAGCGAUGCGUUGAGCUAACCGGUACUAAUGAACCGUGAGGCUUAACCUU